This 835-nucleotide long non-coding RNA is filed under the name Marmota monax (woodchuck). The record is from RNAcentral. Lineage: Eukaryota; Metazoa; Chordata; Mammalia; Rodentia; Sciuridae.
GGAGCAUCCUGCCUGGGAUCAUUUCAUGCCCCUUGCAUUCUCCAUCUCUCAGUGCCUCACCAGAGGAAGACCAUCCAGAUCAAACUUGUAUUUGCCAUUUCCUUCCUCCCUCCCUUCAUCCCUUCCUUCUAUCCUUCCCUCCCUCCUUCCUUCUCUCUCUCUUUCUUUUUCAGGGAUUAAACCCAGGGGAACUUAACCUCUGAGCACAUCCCCAGCCCUUUUUCUUUUUUAUUUUGAGACAAGGUCUCACUGAGUUGCUUAGGGCCUUGGUAAAUUGUUGAGGCUGGCUUUGAACUCCUGAUCCUCCUGCCUCAGCCUCUUGAGCAGCUGGGAUUACAGGUGGGCGCCACUGCACCUGGCUCAGUUUGCCAUUUAAUUAGCAGGACUCUCAAACCCUAUGAGCCCCAGGGUCUCAUCUGGAAAAUGGGAAUAAGAACAGGAUGGUUGUGAAGGGUUGAUGAGGUAAUGCACAUCCCAGUCCUUAGCGCCUGCACAUAGUGCUUACUGAGGCUUGCUUUUGUAGAUGACUUGUGUCUGCUUCUUAGGCAGCUAUGCCUGUUGGCCUCUCUGACCCCUGCCCUCAGCUCUCCUUGGUACCUUUACAUGAUCCACAUGCCCCAACCUGGUCCCAGUGUGUGACCCCCUUGGGGAGGGUUGAGGACAGUUACUUUCCUCCUGGCCUGUGAUGCUCCCUCCAUCUGGAAUGCUCUCCCCAGUGUCACCAGCCCCUCCCCACCACCUCCCACCCAGCCCUUCACACCUUGAGUUGUCAUUAGGAGGGAGGAGGAACCCCUCUAAAGUCAGGCCCAGCUGCAGAGUGUUAAGGGGAUUUCAC